Haliotis rufescens (red abalone) is the source of this 1522-nucleotide long non-coding RNA. RefSeq lists it as uncharacterized. The transcript is spliced from 3 exons. The record is from RefSeq and is a predicted model, not a curated record. Lineage: Eukaryota; Metazoa; Mollusca; Gastropoda; Lepetellida; Haliotidae.
UUGUGGACACCCACUCAUCAUCUUUAAUAUACUUGUUAUUUAAUACAAUGUUGCAUACCUCCAUUUGGACGAGGUACUACAAAUGCCUUCUUUGCUCAAAGGAUUUCCAUAAUUGAUGACAAUAACAACCUAUUCAGAAAUCAAAUGUAGAAAUUAUUGUAACAGUUGUUCAUAUGAAUGAGUUUGAAUAUAUGCAUGUUUUGACUUGUGACAACAUUCAAUGUUUCAAACAGACUGGUUUUAUAGGUUUUUAUUAAGUGUGUUUGAAGAUUUGUUGUCUCUGUUUUAGAAACCACUGGUAAGAACAAGACUUUACUCUGUGUCGUUGAAAGACAUUUAACAACUUGCGCUGGUGGAUGGGGGUAUAAACAGUAAUAGGCCAAAGUAUCGAACAGAGUGUAUAGUACUUGAUAUUGCCUUGAAACAUUUGGUUAAAUCAAAAACAGUUCCGUGCAUGUAUUAACAACUUUGAGCUGAAGACAGUUCUCCAGUUCUCUUUUGUACUACCUUCCAAAGCCCUAGCAUUCCGUACAACGAGAAAUGUACAUCUCAUCAAAUGUAUCUCACCAGCAAAAUUUAAUUUGUUGAUAAUCAGAACAGAAAAGUGUAAAGAGAAGCUUGAAAGCCAAACAAAAGUGUUACUUAACGUCACAUAAUAUGUUAAGUCAUGAAUAAAAGGAAAAAUGAGCAUUUUCAAAGAACAGAAACAACAUUAUUCGCCAGCGACUACUAGGACUGUAACUGGGUAAAUCUGAUAACUGUCAGGAAUGAGAUAGUCAGAUCAAAACGUACGUGUCUCAGUAAUGUUAUACCCAUGUCACAACUAGAUGAUCAAUAGUGUAAGCCAAUAUCUGGUGUAGCCUCCUCAUCCACGGAUCACAUCCACAAGAUGCCUCCUCAUGCUCAAAAUCAGAAGCCUGAUCCCCAACUGAGGUAUGUGUUGCCAUUCCUGAUGCAAUGUAGGGCAUCGUUGUCCACAGAGAUAGGACGAGUUGCAAGUACAUGGUUAUCAAAAUAAGGCAUAAUAAAACCGUUCAAUAUGGUAUCUUGGUACCUUUCUCCAUUUAGAACCCCCUAAACUGUCACAAAAUCAAAUUUACAGUCAAAGAAGCAGCAUCCCCAUACCAUCCCUGAUCCGCCACCUGAGGCCACUGUUUCCUGGAUGUUUUGCUGAUGAUAAGAUGUUCCUCUUUGCCUCCAUACAAGUCCUACCACCAGCGUAGACCUUCUCUCGGAAGACCAAUGAAUCCCCCUCAAUGACCUCAAGAUCCAGUGUGCUCGAGUCUGACACCAGGCUACAGAGCCCAGCAUAUAAUGGGCUGUGCAUACGGUUCGCAUAAACGCACCCACAAGGUGGGGCAGUUAAGGUGUUUACCAUUCUACAAGCAGAUGAUGUGACAACACACAGAAACAUGUUCGUGGCGCAGUGACAGUACACGGUGCUACCCGGGAGAAUGUGCAGAGGAAUAUGCAAGGAAUUGUAUCUGUACAACAGAGUUUAGCGGCACUCACUGCGAGAAAA